This 396-nucleotide ribosomal RNA is filed under the name uncultured bacterium. RNAcentral describes it as "bacterial SSU rRNA". It matches the Rfam family "Bacterial small subunit ribosomal RNA", at positions 30 to 428 of the family's 1533-position model. The record is from RNAcentral.
AUUGAACGCUGGCGGCAUGCCUUACACAUGCAAGUCGAACGGCAGCGGACCUUCGGGUGCCGGCGAGUGGCGAACGGGUGAGUAAUGCAUCGGAACGUGCCAUUGAGUGGGGGGAUAACGUAGCGAAAGUUGCGCUAAUACCGCAUAUUCUGUGAGCAGGAAAGCAGGGGGACCGCAAGGCCUUGCGCUCUUUGAGCGGCCGAUGUCAGAUUAGCUAGUUGGUGAGGUAACGGCUUACCAAGGCGACGAUCUGUAGCGGGUCUGAGAGGAUGAUCCGCCACACUGGAACUGAGACACGGUCCAGACUCCUACGGGAGGCAGCAGUGGGGAAUUUUGGACAAUGGGGGCAACCCUGAUCCAGCCAUGCCGCGUGAGUGAAGAAGGCCUCGGUUGUAA